RNAcentral lists this signal recognition particle RNA (215 nucleotides) under Mageeibacillus indolicus UPII9-5. RNAcentral describes it as "Clostridiales genomosp. BVAB3 str. UPII9-5 Bacterial large signal recognition particle RNA". It matches the Rfam family "Bacterial large signal recognition particle RNA". From Rfam's summary of the family: The signal recognition particle (SRP) is a universally conserved ribonucleoprotein involved in the co-translational targeting of proteins to membranes. Archaeal SRP consists of a 7S RNA and homologues of the eukaryotic SRP19 and SRP54 proteins. The record is from Rfam by way of RNAcentral. Lineage: Bacteria; Bacillati; Bacillota; Clostridia; Eubacteriales; Oscillospiraceae.
CCUUUCUUUGAUUUUAGUUAACUUGAGCUUAAGGUACUUUUAUGGUAGAGUGUAUUCUAAACGAAUCACCUCUUAUCUGGAGCCGAUGCGGUUUCUGUGCGAUGAGGCCCGUGAACCCUGUCAGGUCCGGAAGGAAGCAGCAGUAAGCGGUCAACCUCAGGUGCUGCAGACCUCUCUGCAUCGACUUCAGACAAGGGGUGUCGUUAUAUGGGAGG